GCCUUAUUUGUGAAAAGUGGUCACUAUUUUUUUGCAGGUGGUUAUUCAUUUCGUCUGGUGUUGUUGUUUCAUUGGCCACGUAUUUAAAUUGUAUAGAGUUACCAAUAUUUAUCAAACAUAUCCCUGUCACAUUCAGUAAGUAUCUGCCUGUAAUUCAAUGGUUGUUGCUGUGUUGCAUGAUUGAUUUUUCGUUUCUUUUUGGGUACAUUAAUCAGGUCGUUCCUUUUUUCGUUUGUAUUGUUUACAUUUCUUAUUUCAAGGCCUAUUGUAGCUGACUGUGGUAGGGGCUAUGGGUUUUUUUUUUUUAUGAAGGCUGUUUGAAAAUUUAUAGCUGUUAAUUUUUGUGUUAUAAGGUCUCUUGUGAAAGAAUCUCAUCGAAAAUCACACCAAACUUCUUUUCUAUAUUUAUUUGGUUUACUUUUUUCUUGAAGGUAUAUCACAGAACAAUUCUUAUAUAGUAGAUAUUAUAAGUCAUAUAUCAAGGUAUUUUGACAAAUAACCUAAAC
This 506-nucleotide long non-coding RNA is filed under the name Mytilus galloprovincialis (Mediterranean mussel). Lineage: Eukaryota; Metazoa; Mollusca; Bivalvia; Mytilida; Mytilidae. The record is from RNAcentral.